RNAcentral lists this long non-coding RNA (257 nucleotides) under Elaeis guineensis (African oil palm). Its description in RNAcentral is "long non-coding RNA (EGUI_LNC008180)". The record is from RNAcentral. Lineage: Eukaryota; Viridiplantae; Streptophyta; Magnoliopsida; Arecales; Arecaceae.
CGUGAUCUAAUCACCAGGUGUGGUGCACAAAGAAUUGCUCUUUGCCAUAGUCAAACACACACCAGAUUCGCAGGACAGAGCAAGUUUAUUACAGCCCGGCCCCCCAUUCUGCUCAAAAGCAGUUUGGGCCGUUGGUGCAGUGCAGCCUCUUAGGAUCAUCCAGAUCUCAUAUCCGAUCUAGGGAAAUUCUUUGUGCACUGUCUGCGGUAUAGAAAAUCUGAUGCAAAGUAUACUGCUUCAUCCUAUUAGAUCAUGUA